GGGGAAUAUUGCACAAUGGGCGAAAGCCUGAUGCAGCAACGCCGCGUGAGUGAUGAAGGUCUUCGGAUUGUAAAGCUCUGUCUUUUGGGACGAUAAUGACGGUACCAAAGGAGGAAGCCACGGCUAACUACGUGCCAGCAGCCGCGGUAAUACGUAGGUGGCGAGCGUUGUCCGGAUUUACUGGGCGUAAAGGGUGCGUAGGCGGAUGUUUAAGUGAGAUGUGAAAUACCCGGGCUUAACUUGGGUGCUGCAUUUCAAACUGGAUAUCUAGAGUGCAGGAGAGGAGAAUGGAAUUCCUAGUGUAGCGGUGAAAUGCGUAGAGAUUAGGAAGAACACCAGUGGCGAAGGCGAUUCUCUGGACUGUAACUGACGCUGAGGCACGAAAGCGUGGGUAGCAAACAGGAUUAGAUACCCUGGUAGUCCACGCCGUAAACGAUGAGUACUAGGUGUAGGAGGUAUCGACCCCUUCUGUGCCGCAGUAAACACAUUAAGUACUCCGCCUGGGAAG
This 508-nucleotide ribosomal RNA is filed under the name uncultured bacterium. RNAcentral describes it as "partial 16S ribosomal RNA". It matches the Rfam family "Bacterial small subunit ribosomal RNA", at positions 356 to 880 of the family's 1533-position model. The record is from RNAcentral.